This 461-nucleotide ribosomal RNA is filed under the name uncultured bacterium. Its description in RNAcentral is "partial 16S ribosomal RNA". It matches the Rfam family "Bacterial small subunit ribosomal RNA", at positions 28 to 506 of the family's 1533-position model. The record is from RNAcentral.
GACGAACGCUGGCGGCGUGCUUAACACAUGCAAGUCGAGCGGUAAGGCCUUUCGGGGUACACGAGCGGCGAACGGGUGCGUAACACGUGGGUGAUCUGCCCUGCACUUCGGGAUAAGCCUGGGAAACUGGGUCUAAUACCGGAUAUGACCUCCUAUCGCAUGGUGGGUGGUGGAAAGAUUUAUCGGUGCAGGAUGGGCCCGCGGCCUAUCAGCUUGUUGGUGGGGUAAUGGCCUACCAAGGCGACGACGGGUAGCCGACCUGAGAGGGUGACCGGCCACACUGGGACUGAGACACGGCCCAGACUCCUACGGGAGGCAGCAGUGGGGAAUAUUGCACAAUGGGCGAAAGCCUGAUGCAGCGACGCCGCGUGAGGGAUGACGGCCUUCGGGUGGUAAACCUCUUUCAGCAGGGACGAAGCGCAAGUGACGGUACCUGCAGAAGAAGCACCGGCUAACUACGU